UGGCUUAGGAUGAACGCUGGCGGCGUGCCUAACACAUGCAAGUCGAGCGGAGAUGAUCGGAGAUUCUCGGAUGAUCUUAUAUCUAGCGGCGGAUGGGUGAGUAACACGUGGGUAACCUGCCCUGCACAGGGGGAUAACAGCUGGAAACGGCUGUUAAUACCGCAUAUGCACACGCUGCCGCAUGGCAGGGGGUGGAAAGAUUUAUCGGUGCAGGAUGGGCCCGCGUCGGAUUAACUAGUUGGCAGGGUAACGGCCUACCAAGGUGAUGAUCCGUAGCCGACCUGAGAGGGUGACCGGCCACAUUGGGACUGAGACACGGCCCAAACUCCUACGGGAGGCAGCAGUGGGGGAUAUUGCACAAUGGGCGCAAGCCCUGAUGCAGCGACGCCGCGUGAAGGAAGAAGUAUUUCGGUAUGUAAACUUCUAUCAGCGGGGAAGAAGAUGACGGUACCCGACUAAGAAGCCCCGGCUAACUACGUGCCAGCCGCAGC
This 491-nucleotide ribosomal RNA is filed under the name uncultured bacterium. Its description in RNAcentral is "bacterial SSU rRNA". It matches the Rfam family "Bacterial small subunit ribosomal RNA", at positions 20 to 518 of the family's 1533-position model. The record is from RNAcentral.